GCUUUUGGUGGCUGUGGAUUUCUGCACAGAAGCGGUCCUUGAAGCAUCCCUUGGACAGGACUGCAAAAGGUGACUAAACAGUUUAGUGCUGUGCUGGCUAUGCUGCUUCUGCAGAUGUUGGAGAGAAAUCCUUGGCUACGGAGAAGUGGAGAGCUUGCAAUGCACUGAGAAGAUCUUGUCUGAGCACUUGGAUACCCUUGGUCUGGAAGAAUGCAAAAUAUCUUUGUCCUUCAAUAAUGCAUUUUUGAGGCGGGAAGUAGGAUGAGCUUUUGUUCAUCUUGCUGCCAGGUGAUGAGCUUUGCACACCAGACAGACUUGGUGCCAUCACUCCUACAGCUUCCAGUUAUGAGUGCUUUCUGAGCCCUGUGUGAAUUCCAGCAGGAUGCAGGCUCAAAUUUUGCAUCUCAGCAACCAAGAUGUAUGGCUAAUAAAUCCUGAUUGCAGACGAAGAGUGCUUAAGAUCAGGAAUCUCAGCCCACAGGAUGAACUGAGAAGUGGAAGACAGAGAUGGUGGCUGAAGUCUGCCAAGAUUCAGAGGAGUGCAGCAGCGUGCCAGAUCCUCGCUGGAUUUGAGCAUAUCAGCCUGAGAGUCUGCCGCCUACCAUUACCAAGAUACUUAUGGUCUUUCUUCAUCUACAAGAUGGAUCAAAUGAAUAUUUCACAGAUAGUGGAUGAGAUUCCUAGAACUACAGUGAAGUACUCAAAUUAUGACAAGGUAAUCCAUAACAGGAUUGGGCUAAGAAAACAUUUAAUUCCACGUGUAGUCCCAGACAUGUUCAUUAGUCAUUAUGGAAGACUACACAAGUUGUUCUUUGGACUUAAAAUACUCUCCUUUUCUUAGAUUUUUGUUUGUUUGUUUUGGUUUGUUCUAACUAACCUCAGGAAGGUUAGCUACAGCUUUGAUUAAAAGUAUUGAGAAAUAACAGACUAUGUAAUCAUCCAACUCUAUAUUUCUAUGAUGUAUGUGUAAUCUACAGUAUUUUUUUUCAGUUGCCGUAGAGCUUUGCAACUACAAGUUAAUUAUUAAACUAGUUAUUUUCCCAGGGCAGUAAUGACCUAAUCAUUUAUGAUAGUGCUCAAAUGAGAAAUUAAACAAACAUAUCCAAAAUAAACAGAGAUCAAAUUGUCUUUGCCA
RNAcentral lists this long non-coding RNA (1135 nucleotides) under Anas platyrhynchos platyrhynchos (common mallard). RNAcentral describes it as "lncRNA (ENSAPLG00000021658.1)". The record is from RNAcentral. Lineage: Eukaryota; Metazoa; Chordata; Aves; Anseriformes; Anatidae.